GGAGAUGUAGCUCAAGUGGUAGAGCGGCGCUUUCAUACGGCGUUAGAUCCGAUUUCGAGUAUCGGUGUCUCCA
RNAcentral lists this transfer RNA (73 nucleotides) under Vibrio phage nt-1. It matches the Rfam family "tRNA". Rfam says of the family: Transfer RNA (tRNA) molecules are approximately 80 nucleotides in length. Their secondary structure includes four short double-helical elements and three loops (D, anti-codon, and T loops). Lineage: Duplodnaviria; Heunggongvirae; Uroviricota; Caudoviricetes; Pantevenvirales; Straboviridae. The record is from Rfam by way of RNAcentral.